UGGGGAAUAUUGCACAAUGGGGGAAAUCCUGAUGCAGCGACGCCGCGUGGAGGAAGAAGGUCUUCGGAUUGUAAACUCCUGUUGUUGGGGAAGAUAAUGACGGUACCCAACAAGGAAGUGACGGCUAACUACGUGCCAGCAGCCGCGGUAAAACGUAGGUCACAAGCGUUGUCCGGAAUUACUGGGUGUAAAGGGAGCGCAGGCGGGAAGACAAGUUGGAAGUGAAAUCUAUGGGCUCAACCCAUAAACUGCUUUCAAAACUGUUUUUCUUGAGUAGUGCAGAGGUAGGCGGAAUUCCCGGUGUAGCGGUGGAAUGCGUAGAUAUCGGGGAGAACAC
Molecule: ribosomal RNA, 337 nt
Filed under: uncultured Faecalibacterium sp.
Lineage: Bacteria; Bacillati; Bacillota; Clostridia; Eubacteriales; Oscillospiraceae
Description: bacterial SSU rRNA
Rfam family: Bacterial small subunit ribosomal RNA
Source: RNAcentral